CAGCAGCCACGGUAAUACGUAGGGUGCGAGCGUUAAUCGGAAUUACUGGGCGUAAAGUGUGCGCAGGCGGUUGUGUAAGACAGGUGUGAAAUCCCCGGGCUUAACCUGGGAACCGCGCUUGUGACUGCACAGCUAGAGUAUGGCAGAGGGGGGUGGAAUUCCACGUGUAGCAGUGAAAUGCGUAGAGAUGUGGAGGAACACCGAUGGCGAAGGCAGCCCCCUGGGCCAAUACUGACGCUCAUGCACGAAAGCGUGGGGAACAAACAGGAUUAGAUACCCGAGUAGUCCCUGUCUCUUAUAC
RNAcentral lists this ribosomal RNA (301 nucleotides) under uncultured bacterium. RNAcentral's name for it is "partial 16S ribosomal RNA". It matches the Rfam family "Bacterial small subunit ribosomal RNA", at positions 509 to 807 of the family's 1533-position model. The record is from RNAcentral.